RNAcentral lists this ribosomal RNA (713 nucleotides) under Salmonella enterica. Its description in RNAcentral is "partial 23S ribosomal RNA". It matches the Rfam family "Bacterial large subunit ribosomal RNA", at positions 2090 to 2802 of the family's 2925-position model. Lineage: Bacteria; Pseudomonadati; Pseudomonadota; Gammaproteobacteria; Enterobacterales; Enterobacteriaceae. The record is from RNAcentral. RNAcentral also lists the same sequence under 3 other names.
CCCGUGAACCUUUACUAUAGCUUGACACUGAACAUUGAGCCUUGAUGUGUAGGAUAGGUGGGAGGCUUUGAAGUGUGGACGCCAGUCUGCAUGGAGCCGACCUUGAAAUACCACCCUUUAAUGUUUGAUGUUCUAACGUGGACCCGUAAUCCGGGUUGCGGACAGUGUCUGGUGGGUAGUUUGACUGGGGCGGUCUCCUCCUAAAGAGUAACGGAGGAGCACGAAGGUUGGCUAAUCCUGGUCGGACAUCAGGAGGUUAGUGCAAUGGCAUAAGCCAGCUUGACUGCGAGCGUGACGGCGCGAGCAGGUGCGAAAGCAGGUCAUAGUGAUCCGGUGGUUCUGAAUGGAAGGGCCAUCGCUCAACGGAUAAAAGGUACUCCGGGGAUAACAGGCUGAUACCGCCCAAGAGUUCAUAUCGACGGCGGUGUUUGGCACCUCGAUGUCGGCUCAUCACAUCCUGGGGCUGAAGUAGGUCCCAAGGGUAUGGCUGUUCGCCAUUUAAAGUGGUACGCGAGCUGGGUUUAGAACGUCGUGAGACAGUUCGGUCCCUAUCUGCCGUGGGCGCUGGAGAACUGAGGGGGGCUGCUCCUAGUACGAGAGGACCGGAGUGGACGCAUCACUGGUGUUCGGGUUGUCAUGCCAAUGGCACUGCCCGGUAGCUAAAUGCGGAAGAGAUAAGUGCUGAAAGCAUCUAAGCACGAAACUUGCCCCGA